Molecule: ribosomal RNA, 305 nt
Filed under: uncultured bacterium
Lineage: Bacteria
Description: bacterial SSU rRNA
Rfam family: Bacterial small subunit ribosomal RNA
Source: RNAcentral
CCCUACGGGAGGCAGCAGUAGGGAAUUUUCGGCAAUGGGCGAAAGCCUGACCGAGCAAUGCCGCGUGAGUGAAGAAGGCCUUCGGGUUGUAAAGCUCUGUUGUAAAGGAAGAACGGAUGGCAUAGGGAAUGAUGCCAUUGUGACGGUACUUUACGAGGAAGUCACGGCUAACUACGUGCCAGCAGCCGCGGUAAUACGUAGGUGGCGAGCGUUAUCCGGAAUGAUUGGGCGUAAAGGGUGCGCAGGCGGUCCUGCAAGUCUGGAGUGAAACGCAUGAGCUCAACUCAUGCAUGGCUUUGGAAACU